Molecule: long non-coding RNA, 2100 nt
Filed under: Homo sapiens (human)
Lineage: Eukaryota; Metazoa; Chordata; Mammalia; Primates; Hominidae
Description: PREDICTED lncRNA (TCONS_00052602)
Source: RNAcentral
UUUUCAAUGAUGAAUCAUUUAGUUUACAAGACAUAUCUUGUAUUUUCUUUAGGUAAUUGCCAAAUCAGAGUCAAAUUUAUGAAUGGGCAACCAGUUCUCUUCACCACUUCCAGCUUAUACUCCUCUGGAGUGUAUCCUGAACCAUUGGGACGGCUUUGACCCUCAGAAUCUGGAGGAAAAACACCUCAUAGCCCUACGCACAAAGGGUUGGCCAAAUUAUGAUUUACAGGAAGGACUGAGUUGGCCUCAGGAAGGAACCAUUCAUUUCAAUACCACUUGGCAGUUGGAACUUUUCUGCAGACAUGAGGACAGAUGGUCUGAGGCCACAUAUAUGCAGGCUUUCUAUAUCUUGCAAGGCAAUCGAGACCUUGGCUAACAAUGUAAGAUAGAUCUAGCCCUCCUGUUUGCCAUCUUAGGGAAGGCUGCAAGGGGCAAGCCUAGAGAAUUAAAGAUAUGAGUCCCAGAGGCACCCCCAACAGGGGAGCCAGCUCCCUCAAGCCCUGCUCCUCCAGGUCUAUCCCAACCUCCCUAUCCAGCUUCAGCCUCUCACUUGCCCCCUCCUAGAAAUCCUCACUCUAAACAAGCCCCAGUCUCACUCCUGCCCCUCCAACAGAUGCCCAGUGAAUUUGGGCCCAGUAAGGUCCAGGUCUCCUUCUCCCUACAGGACUUAAAGCAAAUUAAGGAGGAUAUUGACAGGUUUUCAGAUGACCCUUAUAGAUAGAGGCUCUCCAGAAUUUCACCCAAAUAUUUGAACUCUCUUGAAAAGACAUUAUGUUACUUUUGAAUCAGACCCUGAUGGACACUGAGAAACAGUCCACUCUGCAAGCAGCAGAGAGAUUUAGGAAUGAGCUUUGUAUCACAUAUAGCGUCAGGGAAGGGGACGAAUAUUCUCCAACUGGAAGAGAAGCAGUACCAGUGAAUGACCCUAAAUGGCAUCCCAAUGAUGAGAUGGAAGACUGGAGAAGCACACACUUUCAGGUGUGCAUAGUGGAAGGCUAGUAUAAAUUUAUUACUCAGGCAGCUCCUGAUAUCAGGAGGAAGUUGCAGAAACGAUCCCUGGGAUCAGCUAGUACAUUAGAGGACCUCCUGAAAGUGGCUACCUUGGUCUUUUAUAAUACAGACAGGGAGGCCCAGGAAGAGAGAGGAAAUACGCAAAAGAGCAAAAGCUUUAAUGGCCACCAUGCAACCCCACAAACCCUAGAAUUCCCAGGGUACACCUGUUAGUUGCUAAAGAUAUUUCAAGAACAGUUAUCUCUCUGGUAAAGUUUAUUUGCUCCUGUGCAAGGUUUCAUUUCUUUCAACAGAGUGAAACAACUUGGGGUACAAUGUUAUUGUUAGUAUAUUUUCUUCUUAUGUCUGUAAUAUUUGGCACUAAAUUCUUUCCUUUAAUAAUACACAUGUUUAACCCAUGCAUACUUAACCUUAUAAAACUUGUUUUUUCUCUCAUGCCUGGAAGCCAUCAAACUCCAAAUGUUCAGGCAACCAGAGCCUCAGAUGAUGGCUCCGCUUUGCUAGGAACCCCCAGGUAGACCUCUCGGAAGCAUCCGACAGCAGUUUACCCCAAAAGAAUGCCCCCUGUCAGUGGGAAGCAGCUAAGACCAGUCAUUGUCCAUAUUCUCAUGGCAGUUAGAUACACCUCUUCAGAGAGGGGAAAUAAUAUGGGAGUGCUAGGAAGGGAAGAACAUGGCUGGCUAGGGCUCCAUACCCUGGCUAGUCCUGGCUAGGGCUCCACACUCACGGACCUAACUGAGAACAGGUAUUUCCCGCCCAAAUGUUGCAUUUCCCAAGACCACCCUGGCCUGCCAUGCCCCCAUCCUGUGCCUGCAAAAACCUGAGACCCUAGCAAGGCAGAUACAGAAGCAACUGGACAUCAAGAGGAGCACAUCAGCGGAGGAACACACAGGGAGAGGAACACAUAGGUGGCUGGACAUUGAGAGGAACACACUGACAGGCACCAGCAUGCUGGUAGGCCACUGACUGACAGAACAAUGCAGAGUUUGGCUGGGGCAGCUGGAGGACAGUCUGGGCCACUGAGCAGCCUGACUUCAGGGGAAAACCAUCUCCCUUCUGACUCUCCCAUCUGCUGGUAGCUAUUUCCAC